This 467-nucleotide ribosomal RNA is filed under the name uncultured bacterium. Its description in RNAcentral is "partial 16S ribosomal RNA". It matches the Rfam family "Bacterial small subunit ribosomal RNA", at positions 28 to 507 of the family's 1533-position model. The record is from RNAcentral.
GAUGAACGCUGGCGGCGUGCUUAACACAUGUAAGUCGAACGGAAAGGCCUCUGCUUGCAGGGGUACUCGAGUGGCGAACGGGUGAGUAACACGUGGGUGAUCUGCCCUGCACUUCGGGAUAAGCCUGGGAAACUGGGUCUAAUACCGGAUAGGACAAUGGUUUGGAUGCUGUUGUGGAAAGUUUUUCGGUGUGGGAUGAGCUCGCGGCCUAUCAGCUUGUUGGUGGGGUAAUGGCCUACCAAGGCGUCGACGGGUAGCCGGCCUGAGAGGGUGUACGGCCACAUUGGGACUGAGAUACGGCCCAGACUCCUACGGGAGGCAGCAGUGGGGAAUAUUGCACAAUGGGCGCAAGCCUGAUGCAGCGACGCCGCGUGGGGGAUGACGGCCUUCGGGUUGUAAACUCCUUUCGCUAGGGACGAAGCGUUUUUGUGACGGUACCUGGAGAAGAAGCACCGGCUAACUACGUG